Long non-coding RNA from Pundamilia nyererei, 451 nucleotides. RefSeq lists it as uncharacterized. The record is from RefSeq and is a predicted model, not a curated record. The transcript has 4 exons. Lineage: Eukaryota; Metazoa; Chordata; Actinopteri; Cichliformes; Cichlidae.
GGACAGUCCAAAGACAUGCAGUUAGCGGGCCCUUUGACAGACAGCGAAUCCCUCCAGAGUGUACCCUGCUUCUCACCCUAAGACAGCUGGGAUAGGCUCCAGCGCCCCGGGUAACCCUGAAAAGGAUAAGCGGAAGCGAAUGGAUGGAUGGAGAUAUAAAACAGAAUUGAAUUCCUUUUAGUUAGUAAAAACCUAUCUCAAUCAGCUCAUCAAAAGAGUGAACCUAAAUUCAACUCGAAGCAGAAGAAGAAGUUCCACUAUCAUCUUUCAAGCAAGGAGACAUUUGCAAAAAUCACAGCGCGCAUCCUAAAGAGAAUGAAGCAGGAUAAAUUGGCUGACCGUAUGUUAAGCAGAUCUCCCAGUGGACUUUGCCGGCACAAACUCAAAUCUAAGUUGAAGAAGAAGUUCCAGUGUGUGUUUGAGGGCAUCGCUAAAGCAGGAAACCCAACCC